GGCCUCGUAGUUCAAUGGAUAGAAUAGAAGUUUCCUAAACUUUUGAUAUGGGUUCGAUUCCCGUCGAGGCUACCA
RNAcentral lists this transfer RNA (75 nucleotides) under Pedobacter sp. RNAcentral describes it as "tRNA-Arg". It matches the Rfam family "tRNA". Rfam says of the family: Transfer RNA (tRNA) molecules are approximately 80 nucleotides in length. Lineage: Bacteria; Pseudomonadati; Bacteroidota; Sphingobacteriia; Sphingobacteriales; Sphingobacteriaceae. RNAcentral also lists the same sequence under 3 other names. The record is from RNAcentral.